GGGUACAAUCUGAUUUCUGCAAGGAAGGCGGCUCGGCGUGACCACCGUGCCAUGUCCAUGGUGCCACUGACCCUCCACCUGUCUCUUCUUCCGAAGUGCAGUGCCCAUCUCCCCUCUUCCCAGCCAGUUUUGCCUUGUCAUGUAAGCAUUCCUCGACUGCACCUCCAACCCUCAUCCUCCUACCUUUUCUCCUAGGUGUCCUCUAAAUCAUGCUGGAAUGUGCUCCGGGCGGUGCCUUUCAUUCUCCAAUUUGGCUUAACAUUUUUUUGGUGCAGAGGAGGAAGAUGAGUUGGAGGUGCCUGCCUGCUACCCUGGAGCAAUGGGUGCGCCACCCAAUCAGCCAGUCGAUGAUAGAUCCAGGUGGAAAGGCCCAUGUGCUGCAAGGUUUAUGAAUUUAAGAAUUAUAAGAUUGUUUAUUGUUGGAUUUGCUAACAAACUGCCUCUUGUGUUGUUCAUUUUUGCGGGCUCACUGUUUUUGGUUCAGUUUGAAGCGCUCUCUAGGCUUAAAUCAUUCGGGAUAUAGUUGAGUUGUUGAAUCUGAAUGUAUGUAAUCGGUUUCUGCUCGCUGGUCUUAAGAUCUUUCUAGGACAUAGUUGAGUUGUUCAAUCUGAAUGUAUAUAAUCGGUUUCUCAACGGAUGUAUCUAUAUCAAUGAAAAAAAUAGCGCGCUACAGCAAAAUAGCGGCGACCUUAAAAUAUGCUAUUAGUGUGCUAUAUCGCGCUAUAGUGUGCUAUUAGCGAGAUGUUGUACACCGAUAUAUUUAGCGAGGCAAUUCUCAAUACGCUAUAGCGCGCUAUUUUUUCAGUGAUCUAUAUGCAUUUUUUUCAUCAUCAAAAUAUUUUUUCUUACCGGCCUUGUCCUACAUCUAUGAGAUUGAUGAGGAGGUUCUGUUUUUGCAGGUGGCGUAACAUUUGAGUUGCCCGUCCCAGUCCUUAGUUCACAUAUGCUGGUAAAUCUGUUUUGAAAAUUUGACGGAGGAACUAAUUUGUAUUCUUGUUGAUUUAUCUAUUGUGUUGUGUCGUUGAUGUGUGUAUUUUGCUGUGAUUUCUGAGAGUUCAUUUGCUUCCAGGAUGAGUUUAUUUGGCGCAAGGAGACUAGAUGAGUGCAGGGGGGAGAGAUGAGGUAGAUGCGAAAUCCCAACUCUUGCUCGUGCUGCUACGACCGUGGUGUUUCUUAUGUGUAGUUUUUUUGUAGAGGUCUGGGCUCUAACAUAUUCUAUAGAUAUGUGAUGUUUCUUAUGUGCAGUUUUUUUGCAUGUAUUUUAGUGAAAAGAAGUAUGCUUUAGAGAACACAGAGAUAAAAAAUGUCAUAUUCUUUUAUCAAAUAAAGGUCUGGCUCGGUGGCUCCUUAUUUUGCUUGUCGGGACCAAGAUCUCUAGCUAUGAAUGAACUUUCCAGAGUUGUUUUUGUUGGUCUGAAGCAUGGAAAUUUCUUGGUUAACAUCUUUAUAAGCGGCAUAACUCUGCAAACAAAACAGAAUAACUAAAACAUAGCUAAGUCCAUUUUUUCUGCAUGAUCUAUUUUGAUCUCAAAUGCAUUUGAAUGACUCGGCAUUUCCAUUCAAUUUCCUUUUUCCAUUUUUAUCUUCCAUUUAGACAUAUGGGAUAACCAUCAUUUCAUAUUUUUGUCAUGUAUCUUUCAUUUACUUGGAAAUUAAUAAGUAAUAACCAAUGGAUGUUUUUUAACAGCUGCAAGACUACCUGCUAAUAAUUACCGAGAAUUAACCAUCAUAUGUAUCAUUCAUUUUAUUAAUACCAAAUUACCAAAAAAGUGAGGGCAAUAGUUAGACACCAUAAACUGUAUAUGUUACUAUUAAUUGUUCAUCCUUAAUGUUUGAAGUGUUCCACAUGAUUUUUGCUGGUAGAAAGAUUCAAGCAUUUUGGUUUCGUUAGAAAUACAAAAUUUCUUUGUUCAGCCACCCUGCCCAUGGUGGCUUGCUUUACUAAAUUUAUAAUUGAACACUUGAAUAUAUAUUUUCAUCAGUAUGCCCCCUAUCCUAUUUUCUGUGGGUACACAUGAAUGUUUGAUCCAGAUUCUAGGUGCAUCCUUUACUACAACAAUCUCAGGCUAUACUGAAAAGUGUACUGCUUAUAUAGCGAAUAUCUUUAAUUCAUACGCUCGUCUGUUGGAUGCUAUGGUCGCUGGCUUGACGCUCGCUGCUACUGGACGCUCGCUGCUAUUAUUGGUUCAUAAGUUUUGCAGACCUGGUUACUGCAGAUUUUUUUGAGCGAAUGGUUAGUGUAGAGUUAGUUCUUAUGGUUAUUGAAACCAUGCAAAAUGUAGCUUUCCCCUUCCUCUCUGGUCACUUGAAUUUAAAUCUCCUGCAUGUUCAUUUAUGAACUCUGCACCAACACACGUGACCCAUGCAAAAAUUGUUCACUUUUAGAGUCUAGCUCAAAGAAAUUCACUUCUGGAGUGUAACUCAAAAAAGUUCAUGUUGAAGAUUUGUGUUGUUGCUGAAUUAGGGAUUUAAAUUCAAGUUUCCUCGGAUGUCUAUUGCUACUGAAUUAGGGGCUUAAAUUCAACUUUCCUCUGAUUAAUUUAUAUCUAUCUUUUGUACUCUACUGAACAUGUGUGUAUAGUUUCAGAAUUCCUUUUACCACUAAUACUUAUGGGUUGUUCUAGAGGCGAUUUUGCAUCACUCCAUUUUAUAGAUGUUCAUGCAUAAGUAGCAUCAGUUUUUUUCCUAAUGUUGGCUUUUCAUCUGCUAACUGGUGUGUGCCAUGCGGUACGUGCCCAACCUAUGUAUCUCAUUAUGUUAUGAUAACACAGAUGCUCUCCUCUGUAGGCGAAACGACUGGAGAAAGUAAGCAACUCCUUUUAGUGGUGUUCGAAGAUGGUAUUAAGCAUAGCUGGGCUCUGCCAUUCGUGAAAGUACUAUUUCUUUGUAGGCUUUUGAUUCACCACUAUUCUGUAUAAGUUCUAGGCUUUGUUUCCUGAAUAAGAUCAAGAAUUUUGCACUGAAAAUUCAUGCCCGCUGUUCAAAACUCAGUCUAUAUUUUGAAAGAAAUAUCCUUAUUACUUUUUUGCAUCACAAAGGGUUAUAUAUACUGUCAAGAUUCUAAAGUUGUUCUAUAUUGCUGUCGCAUGAGUAUAAAAGCAG
This 3102-nucleotide long non-coding RNA is filed under the name Triticum aestivum (bread wheat). RNAcentral's name for it is "long non-coding RNA (TAES_LNC005433)". The record is from RNAcentral. Lineage: Eukaryota; Viridiplantae; Streptophyta; Magnoliopsida; Poales; Poaceae.